Long non-coding RNA from Microplitis mediator, 539 nucleotides. RefSeq lists it as uncharacterized. NCBI's taxonomy places the organism in Eukaryota, Metazoa, Arthropoda, Insecta, Hymenoptera, Braconidae. The record is from RefSeq and is a predicted model, not a curated record. The transcript is spliced from 3 exons.
CUGCCUGCUAACUUCAUGAUCAUAAAUUAUAGACCAAAUGUAUUUUAAAUAAUACUUUUUUUCUCUACAAAAUCGUACACUUUCAAGUGAUCCAAUUGAUUUCCUGUCGUGGUUUCUGAAUGCGCUACAUUCGCAUUGAAUGGCAGUAAAAAAGGUGACUUAAGUAUCAUCUACAAGACGUUUUUGGGGCAAAUGAGAAUAUAUACAAGAAAAAUUCCGCCACUUGAGUUAGAGGAGAGCCAAAGAAGUGAAUUAUUGAACACAGUUGAGUACGGAGAGACUGUUACAGAAAGCCCGUUUUUGUAUUUAACAUGCGAUUUACCUCCACCACCUCUUUUCAAGGAUCCCUUUGAUGAAAACAUCAUCCCCCAGGUCAAUCUAUACUCUCUUCUCAAUAAAUUUAAUGCAGUUACGGAAAAAGAGUACAAAACUUACAAAGAAAAUUUUAUGAAAAGAUUUAUCUUCGGACAAUCAAAUUGGUUUUGUUAAAUUCUGUUAAACUAAAAUUUAUUUGGGAUAACUAAAUUUUAUUACGUCAA